This 390-nucleotide ribosomal RNA is filed under the name uncultured bacterium. Its description in RNAcentral is "partial 16S ribosomal RNA". It matches the Rfam family "Bacterial small subunit ribosomal RNA", at positions 523 to 916 of the family's 1533-position model. The record is from RNAcentral.
ACACGUAGGGGCCUGACGUUGUUCGGAAUCAUUGGGCGUAAAGGGCGCGCAGGCGGCCGUCCAAGUCCGGUGUUAAAUGGUCGGGCUCAACCCGAUCAUGCGCUGGAAACUGGGCGGCUUGAGUCCCGUAGGGGAUGCCGGAAUUCCAGGUGUAGGGGUGAAAUCUGUAGAUAUCUGGAAGAACACCGAUGGCGAAGGCAGGCAUCUGGCCGGAGACUGACGCUGAGGCGCGAAGGCGCGGGGAGCGAACAGGUUUAGAUACCCUGGUAGUCCGCGCAGUAAACGAUGCGCACCAGGUGUCGGGCGGCAGCGCCCGGUACCGGAGCUAACGCGAUGAGUGCGCCGCCUGGGGAGUAUGCCCGCAAGGGUGAAACUCAAAGGAAUUGACGG